AGAGUUUGAUCCUGGCUCAGGAUGAACGCUGGCGGCGUGCUUAACACAUGCAAGUCGAACGAAGCACCUUAUUCUGAUUUCUUCGGAAUGAAAAAUUUGGUGACUGAGUGGCGGACGGGUGAGUAACGCGUGGGUAACCUGCCUCAUACAGGGGGAUAACAGUUAGAAAUGACUGCUAAUACCGCAUAAGACCACAGCACCGCAUGGUGCAGGGGUAAAAACUCCGGUGGUAUGAGAUGGACCCGCGUCUGAUUAGGUAGUUGGUGGGGUAACGGCCUACCAAGCCGACGAUCAGUAGCCGACCUGAGAGGGUGACCGGCCACAUUGGGACUGAGACACGGCCCAAACUCCUACGGGAGGCAGCAGUGGGGAAUAUUGCACAAUGGGGGAAACCCUGAUGCAGCGACGCCGCGUGAGCGAUGAAGUAUUUCGGUAUGUAAAGCUCUAUCAGCAGGGAAGAAAAUGACGGUACCUGACUAAGAAGCACCGGCUAAAUACGUGCCAGCAGCCGCGGUAAUACGUAUGGUGCAAGCGUUAUCCGGAUUUACUGGGUGUAAAGGGAGCGUAGACGGAGUGGCAAGUCUGAUGUGAAAACCCGGGGCUCAACCCCGGGACUGCAUUGGAAACUGUCAAUCUAGAGUACCGGAGAGGUAAGCGGAAUUCCUAGUGUAGCGGUGAAAUGCGUAGAUAUUAGGAGGAACACCAGUGGCGAAGGCGGCUUACUGGACGGUAACUGACGUUGAGGCUCGAAAGCGUGGGGAGCAAACAGGAUUAGAUACCCUGGUAGUCCACGCUGUAAACGAUGAAUACUAGGUGUGGGGGGACUGACCCCCUCCGUGCCGCAGUUAACACAAUAAGUAUUCCACCUGGGGAGUACGACCGCAAGGUUGAAACUCAAAGGAAUUGACGGGGGCCCGCACAAGCAGUGGAUUAUGUGGUUUAAUUCGACGCAACGCGAAGAACCUUACCAGGACUUGACAUCCAACUAACGAAGUAGAGAUACAUCAGGUGCCCUUCGGGGAAAGUUGAGACAGGUGGUGCAUGGUUGUCGUCAGCUCGUGCCGUGAGAUGUUGGGCUAAGUCCCGCAACGAGCGCAACCCCUAUUGUUAGUUGCUACGAAAGAGCACUCUAGCGAGACUGCCGUUGACAAAACGGAGGAAGGCGGGGACGACGUCAAAUCAUCAUGCCCCUUAUGUCCUGGGCUACACACGUAAUACAAUGGUGGCCAACAGAGGGAAGCGAAGCCGUGAGGCGGAGCAAAUCCCUAAAAGCCAUCUCAGUUCGGAUUGCAGGCUGCAACUCGCCUGCAUGAAGCUGGAAUUGCUAGUAAUCGCGGAUCAGCAUGCCGCGGUGAAUACGUUCCCGGGCCUUGUACACACCGCCCUUCACACCAUGAGAGUCGGGAACACCCGAAGUCCGUAGUCUAACCGCAAGGGGGGCGCGGCCGAAGGUGGUUCCGGUAAUUGGGGUGAAGUCGUAACAAGGUA
RNAcentral lists this ribosomal RNA (1488 nucleotides) under metagenome. Its description in RNAcentral is "bacterial SSU rRNA". It matches the Rfam family "Bacterial small subunit ribosomal RNA". The record is from RNAcentral.